RNAcentral lists this ribosomal RNA (243 nucleotides) under uncultured Rhizophagus. RNAcentral describes it as "partial 18S ribosomal RNA". The stretch from base 40 to 243 matches the Rfam family "Eukaryotic small subunit ribosomal RNA", at positions 686 to 887 of the family's 1831-position model. The record is from RNAcentral. Lineage: Eukaryota; Fungi; Glomeromycota; Glomeromycetes; Glomerales; Glomeraceae.
GGGUUAGUAGGUUGGUCAUGCCUCUGGUAUGUACUGGUCUCACUGAUUCCUCCUUCCUGAUGAACCGUAAUGCCAUUAACUUGGUGUUGCGGGGAAUUUGGACUGUUACUUUGAAAAAAUUAGAGUGUUUAAAGCAAGCUAACGCUUGAAUACAUUAGCAUGGAAUAAUGAAAUAGGACGUUCGUAUCCUACUUUUGUUGGUUUCUUAGGAGUUGACGUAAUGAUUAAUAGGGAGUAGUUGGG